UCGCAGAAGCCGGCCUGCGCCAACUACUACUUCAAAACAUUCUGGCUACAUAAAACCAACACGUGUUCAGAAAGCUUCAGUUGCAGUUAUACUUGCCAAAAGAAAGUUAAUUGCUUGUGAUGGUAUCUUUGUUUGGCUGCUUUCUCAUUCCGUAGAUCACUCGUGCCUAUCAAGGAUGUUGGCAAAGGGCCACGUUAAUCCUCGAAGGCAUCCGAUUGUCAGCGAUGCGGAUGAGAUCGUCAUUUCGCUACACCAGCACUGUGUCCUUGAGCUCAAAGUAAUCGGCGUUUCCGUUUAUCCGUUGCUCAAACGCACGGAGUCCGAUUUUAUCGAUCAUGUUUGAAUGACUACAGAAACAGUCGAAAGACAAUUCGGCGCACUCAAAUGGAUCAAGGUGAUACCUGAUUGUUCCGUAAACUUGUGAAGCGGGUCACGAAGGAUCUUUACUCAAAGCUCAAAAAGGUGGAUAUGUUCCCGUCUCAAAUGAAAUCGACUGUGAUUCAAGUGGCUUCGAUCAUUAACGGAUACAAUGUUCGAUUGCAGGAAAAUAUUGUCGUAUACGAGGCAGUCUUCUUCGAAUUUGUUAACGAGCAUCGCACCGUUGACGGAUACGAGCU
This is a long non-coding RNA of Daphnia carinata, 617 nucleotides long. RefSeq lists it as uncharacterized. The record is from RefSeq and is a predicted model, not a curated record. Lineage: Eukaryota; Metazoa; Arthropoda; Branchiopoda; Diplostraca; Daphniidae. The transcript is spliced from 3 exons.